GAGUUUGAUCAUGGCUCAGAACGAACGCUGGCGGUAGGCCUAAUACAUGCAAGUCGAGCGCGCCCUUCUGUGUGAGCGGCGGACGGGUGAGUAACGGGUGGGAAUAUGCCCUUCUCUAAGGAAUAGCCUCUGGAAACGGAGAGUAAUACCUUAUACGCCCUUUGGGGGAAAGAUUUAUCGAAAAGGGAUUAUCCCGCGUUAUAUUAGGACUUUGGUAGGGUAAUGGCCUACCAAGCCUACGAUCGAUAGCUGGUUUGAGAGGAUGAUCACUCUCGCUGGGACUGAAACACGGCCCAGACUCCUACGGGAGGCAGCCGUCCGGAAUCUUAGACAAUGGGGGAAACCCUGAUCUAUCCAUGCCGCGUGUGUGAUGAAUGCCCUAAGGCUCGUAUGGCACUUUCGCCAGAUAUGAUAAUGACACUCUCUGGUCAAGAAACCCCGGCUAACUCCGUGCCAGCAGCCCCGGUGAUACGCACGGGGAUAGCGCUGUUCGGAAUUACUGGGCGUAAACCGUACGUAUGCGGAUUAGUAAAUUAGUAGGUGAAAUCCCACUGCUCAACCCUGGAACUGCCUUUAAAACUGUUAGUCUUGAGAUCAACACAGGUGAGUGCAAUUCCAAGUGUACAGGUGAAAUUCGUUGAUAUUUCGAGGAACGCCUGUGGCUUACGCGGCUCACUGUCUCGUUACUGACGCUGAUGAACGAUAGUGUUGGGAGCAACAGGAUCAGAUCCCUGCUAGACCUCGCGUACACGAUGUCUACUAGCCGUUGGGAGACUUGAUCUCUUAGUGGCGAAGCUAACGCGAUAAGUAGACCGCCUGGGGAGUACGGUCGCAAGAUUAAAACUCAAAUGAAUUGACGGGGGCCCGCACAAGCGGUGGAGCAUGUGGUUUAAUUCGAGGCAACGCGAAAAACUUUACCAGGUCUUGACAUCCUGCGAACUUUCUAGAGAUAGAUUGGUGCCUUCGGGAACGCAGUGACAGGUGCUGCAUGGCUGUCGUCAGCUCGUGUCGUGAGAUGUUGGGUUAAGUCCCGUAACGAGCGCAACCCUUGUCCUUAUUUGCCAGCACAUAAUGGUGGGAACUGUAAGGAGACUGCCGGUGACAAACCGGAGGAAGGUGGGGACGACGUCAAGUCAUCAUGGCCCUUAUGACCAGGGCUACACACGUGCUACAAUGGAGCGUACAGAGGGUUGCUAAGCCGCGAGGUGGAGCCAAUCCCACAAAACGUUUCGUAGUCCGGAUCGAAGUCUGCAACUCGACUUCGUGAAGUCGGAAUCGCUAGUAAUCGUGAAUCAGCAUGUCGCGGUGAAUACGUUCCCGGGCCUUGUACACACCGCCCGUCACACCAUGGGAGUGGGUUGCAAAAGAAGUGGCUAGUCUAACCUUCGGGAGGUCGGUCACCACUUUGUGAUUCAUGACUGGGGUGAAGUCGUAACAAGGUAACC
RNAcentral lists this ribosomal RNA (1445 nucleotides) under uncultured marine bacterium. Its description in RNAcentral is "16S ribosomal RNA". It matches the Rfam family "Bacterial small subunit ribosomal RNA". The record is from RNAcentral.